GGUCUAUGGGGCUGCUGGGUGUGGCCACCUCCCUGUCACGGAGGAAUAACAGAUCGGUUCGAAUCCGAUAUAGACCGC
Molecule: transfer RNA, 78 nt
Filed under: uncultured marine phage
Description: tRNA-Asp
Source: RNAcentral